UGCGUAGGCGGCUGAUUAAGUCGGAUGUGAAAUCCCUGAGCUUAACUUAGGAAUUGCAUUCGAUACUGGUCAGCUAGAGUAUGGGAGAGGAUGGUAGAAUUCCAGGUGUAGCGGUGAAAUGCGUAGAGAUCUGGAGGAAUACCGAUGGCGAAGGCAGCCAUCUGGCCUAAUACUGACGCUGAGGUACGAAAGCAUGGGGAGCAAACAGGAUUAGAUACCCCUGUA
This 225-nucleotide ribosomal RNA is filed under the name uncultured Acinetobacter sp. Its description in RNAcentral is "partial 16S ribosomal RNA". It matches the Rfam family "Bacterial small subunit ribosomal RNA", at positions 568 to 792 of the family's 1533-position model. The record is from RNAcentral. Lineage: Bacteria; Pseudomonadati; Pseudomonadota; Gammaproteobacteria; Moraxellales; Moraxellaceae.